UGAGCACCUAGAAUGUGGGACAGAGAGAGAGAGUCAUGUGCACAUCAAUACAACUAACAGGUAGGGGUGUCAAGUCAAGCGGGGGGGGGGGGGGGGGGAGUGUCUCUAAUAUUCCACCUGAAAUCCAGAAGCUCAUGCCCUUCAGGGAUGGCUGCAAACGAUCAGAAAAUGACCAGCAGCUCCUCUGCACCGCUUACUGGUAAAAGUGAACUUUGGAUUUGCCCCUCUGACACAUCUGUUUGCUAAGUUGUGCCUCUGAAGUGCAGAGCCCCCCAGUGACCCUACACUGAAGCUUCUGGAUUCUGCAGGUGGAACUGGCCCACCUCCCACAGAAGAUUCUCGCUUCCGUGCCUUCUGUAGUUUGUGACCUUCGUGGGUCACGCCCCCACGGGGUUCCACACCGGCUACGGCAAGCACCCCCUCAGCGGCAGCUGGUGGAAUUCAAUCUGACGUUUACAGUGCUCCGUGUGACCCUGACAAAGGUGCUCCGGUUGUUGGACUUUACAAGCACGCACCUACUGCGUUGACCAUUCUGGCCGAGCAGCGCGCUGCCUCAAGGAGAAGAACGCAGAGUCACUUCCGGUCUCCCCCGACAGUCAAGCUCACAGACAGCCUUUUCCUGGUUUGACUUAGAAAUUUAUGUCUGGAUUUCGUAACAACGGUCUGUAUUUGCUGGCAAUACUGGAGUGAUCUAGUCUUUUGUAGAUCACCUUGGUGUUCAUUUGAAUACUUUUUGCACGUAGACCUUUCCGACGCCUGUCUUGGAGGGUUUCUGAGGUUCUGAGGCUACUUCUAAUCUGCUAGGUGUUCCAGGAGUUUCGGUAGGACCUUGAUGCGACUUGGCCACUCCUCUAUCAACUGCAUAAAUAUCCAAGUGGCUGCUAGCGACCAUGGGACAAAAACCCCUACCUCAGAGCUUAGAUUCAAGUGAAGAGACAGGCAAUAAGAGGUGUUUUUGAAGUCAGAAUGACCAGUACGUUAGUUGGAAAUACUCACUCACUAGGGCAAAAAUAAAGCAGGAAAGAGAGACAGAUGUCCAGAGGUAAGGGAAGUGGGUGGGACAUUGCAGACUGAACAAUAAGGGAAGGCCUCACCCAGACAGUGACUUAGGCGAAGUGCAUCGCAGGAGGGGCAGUAUCCCCAGCAGGCAGAAGAGCAGGUACACAGGCCCGCGGUGGGCAGGCCAGGGCAGCCAGAAUGGUAGGAACGAGUGCAGGAGGGACAAAGCAGAAGAUGAGGCCAAAGGAGUAACAGGCAGGAGGCAGACCACCGAGGGCCGUACACAUCAGGUUUCAGAAAGGCUUUGGCUUUUUCUGAGAGGAGAAGCUAAUGGAGAGUGCUGAGCGGAAGCGCCAAUGAGGUUAGACUUUAACAGACUUUCUAGCAGUAGGGCCAGGCCGGAAGCAAGGGGCCUUGUGACGAGGCCCCCACAGUGACCCAGGUGAAGGAGGCUGGUGGUGUGCCCCUUUGCUGUAACCACGCCACGCACCCACCCCGGGGCCAGCUCCCAAAUACGCCCACCCAAGAGCAGCCAACCCUGACUCUGCCGGGAAGCUCUUCCUUACCACCCACUCACGUUUCGUCACCCAGACGUCCAUCCCUGAACACGGCAGCCCUGCCUGUGGUUUCCUUUUGGGUGUUUGUUUACGGAGAGGAGCACAGGGAUGUCUUAAGUGUUUUUUAAUCUAUCAGUUUCCCUACAAUCUUUUCUUUCCCCUUUCAGUUUGGGGAAGAAACAAAUCAUUUGUCCUGUAGUUUCCCACAAUCUGGAUUUCACUGACGGUGCCAUUUUAUAUAGUUUAGUCUGUUCCUCUUUCCUCUGUAUCUCCCGCAAAUUUGACUUUUUUGAGCAAGGCUAUUUCAGAGGUGGUGAUAUGUUCUUCAUCAAGGGGUAUGUAGUACCUGGUAAGCUGUAUUUCUGUGACGUGAACAGGCAUGAAUACCCAAUGCCCAGAUCUUUAAUUCACUACAUCCCUUUUUGCAUUUGUUUGUUGAGAAAUUUCUAUAAAGAAUAGUUUCUUUCGAUUACAGUUUGUAUCUCAUUUUGUAUAGGAACUGAAUAGGAAAAGCAGGAUAAAUUUUGCUCCUCCCUCCCCUUUUAUAAACUGGACUCCAAAGCAGCCUCCAGAGAUGACUGAUAGGGUUUAUUCUGUUGUUGUACCAUCAACUCACGGAUUAAACAUAUUUAAUAUAUUUG
This is a long non-coding RNA of Neofelis nebulosa (Clouded leopard), 2197 nucleotides long. RefSeq lists it as uncharacterized. NCBI's taxonomy places the organism in Eukaryota, Metazoa, Chordata, Mammalia, Carnivora, Felidae. The record is from RefSeq and is a predicted model, not a curated record. The transcript is spliced from 2 exons.